AUGUGCGGGAGCCAGGAAGAGUCGUUGUUUCAUUCUCUGGUUACAUGCGAUCAUGCAAAACUAUUUUGGAGGGAGGCAGAAGAUUUCUUUGAGUUCAAGUUACCACGGCUCCACCCAGCCACGUGGUCCAGGGAUUUGCUUGAUUCUAGCCUGAUUGGAAGGGACAUGGCGGCCAUUGUUAUAUCAGUCAUGUGGACAAUUUGGUCAAGCAGAAACAAAUACACUCAUGAGGAGAUCAAAUACCAACCCGGCAGGUCGAUGGUCCUGGUUAAGGAACUCAUUCACGCUUUGUACAUCCCUUCGGGUGAGGACAAAUACUCACCUACCAAACAUGUCUGGCGUUCUUUAGAGGCUGGUCGACGAGACCAGACGAGCUCCAGGGAUUGUUUAGCCUUAUCUGCUCUAGUGCGGCACUGA
Molecule: ribosomal RNA, 417 nt
Filed under: Triticum aestivum (bread wheat)
Lineage: Eukaryota; Viridiplantae; Streptophyta; Magnoliopsida; Poales; Poaceae
Description: partial small subunit ribosomal RNA
Source: RNAcentral